CAAAGCUGUGCCCUUUAAAUGUCAAAAUCGUAUUGACGGACUAACAUACUUUAUAGCUUUUUUUUCUUUACUUUAAUCAGGUGAUGCCUGGACUUACUGCAUCAGUAAAAAUGAAUGGAUACAGUUUAAUCAUCCAUAUACUGAAAAGCCAAGGUUAUGGCAUACAGCCUGUGCCAGUGAUGAAGGAGAAGUAAUAGUUUUUGGGGGUUGUGCCAACAACCUGCUUGUCCAUCACAGAGCUGCACACAGUAAUGAAAUACUUGUAUUUUCAGUUCAACCAAAAUCUCUUGUCCGGCUAAGCUUAGAAGCAGUCAUUUGCUUUAAAGAAAUGUUAGCAAACUCAUGGAACUGCCUUCCAAAACACUUACUUCACAGUGUUAAUCAGAGGUUUGGUAGUAACAACACUUCCGGAUCUUAAGGCUUCGUAGAUAAUGCCUCUGAUCGCCUUGCAUGGACAGUAAUCCUGUAAACGUCACAGAGUGGCAUCAUUUGUAUAAUUAUAUGCAUUGUUGUAGUUUGCAGCUUUUUGGUUUUAAUGUGCAUGUGAAUGGCCUAGAGAACCUAUUUUUGUGUCGAAAGUUUACAAUAAAUGUAUUUAACACCAGUAA
This is an RNA transcript of Carlito syrichta (Philippine tarsier), 608 nucleotides long. RefSeq lists it as uncharacterized. The record is from RefSeq and is a predicted model, not a curated record. Lineage: Eukaryota; Metazoa; Chordata; Mammalia; Primates; Tarsiidae. The transcript has 4 exons.